CUCCCCAAGCCUUGCACCGGGAACCCCCUUCAGCCAGUUGGGCUCACACAUCGGCCAUGGUAGCAGUGUUGGGAAGCCCCCCAACACCUCCCACCCCCACCCAGGCCGCGCCAAGUCUAGGACAGACAGCAACACAGGAGCCACCGAGGACCAGGGCCACAGGCAAAAAGACAGCAGCACAAAGGUAAGUCUGCCUCUGCUACACAGCCUUACAUACACUCCCCUACAUACAGUAUUUAUUUGGAGAGUGAAGCUAAAACCUUUAAUUUGGCUCUAUACUCCAGCAUUCUGGAUUGGAGAUUCAUUGUUUUGUAUGAGGAGAAAGUACAGAAUGUCACUUUUUAUUUGAGCGUAUUUUCAUACAUAUCUAUUAUAUCGUUUAGAAAUGAAAGCACUUUAUGUAUCUAGUCCCCCCAUUUGAAGGUGUCUUUGGUUAAAUUAAUUUAUAGUGUAUUAAAGUAGUCAAACGUUUAGUAUUUGGUCCCAUAUUCCUAGCACACAAUGACUACAUCAAGCUUGUGACUCUACAAACUUGUUAGAUGCAUUUGCAGUUUGUUUUAGAUGCAUUUCGGGUUAUGUUGUGCUUAAUAUAAAUUAAUGGUAAAUAAGGUAUCGUCAUUUUGGAGUAACUUUUAUUUUAAAUAAGAAUAGAAUAUGUUUCUGAACACACACAAAGAUCAUGCCCCUCAAAGCAUGCUAACCUGUCACCAUUACCAAUAACAGGAGAGGUUAGCAUUUUAUAUCAUACCCCCAAGACAUGCUAACCUGUCACCAUUACCAAUAACAGGAGAGGUUAGCAUUUUGGGGGGUAUGAUCUUUGUUCCUCUAUAACUUUCUCACCCAGCAUUAUUCACAAUUCGUAUAAGUGAAUUUGUCCAAAUACUUAUGAAAAAUAACAUAUUCAAAUGGGGGACUACAUACAUAAAGUUAUUUCAUUUCUAAAACACAUACUGUAUGAAAAAAAACUCAAAUAAAAUGUGACAUUCUGUACUGUCACCUCAUAUAAAACAUUUGAUCUCAAAUCCAAAAUGGUGGAGUAUAGAGCCAAAUGUACAUAUUUUAGCUUCACUGUCCAAUUACAUACUUAGGGGAGUGUACAUCUUUAGAGACAGGGUUCACUCCCCCAAAGUGGAAAAUAUACCAGUCAACUGUGGACUGUGUGACAUAUUGUAUGGUCAAGUGAUACCCUGAUAGAUGCUCAUAGGUAGAAGUCUUGAUGUGGCGGACGGGCAGGCGAUCAACAGAGUACAAGAUUGAAGGUGACUGAUAGAGAGUUCUUUGUCACCUGUCAUCUUCUCCUGUCUGUGCUGGAGGCUGAGGGCUGGAUGACCUGGGGUCAGGGUGUGUUUGUCUGCCAGGCGCGUCUGUGGCAGCACCACGGUGACAUGUCUGUUGUGUCAUGAUGACAGACAGCAGGCUAAACUGGCACUGAGCUGAUGAACAGCCAGGAGAUGAGAUGAUGGUUCUCACUGGGACACAGAAUCAGUGUCACUCCAGUGUUACUCUUGGUACUGGUUGGUUUCAACCUUAAGGCUGCUGCCGUUGUCAGCAAGAUGAUGGUUUAUUGAGUUAGUGCGGGCGGGAGUGCAUUAGGCUUCUUCAGUGAAUACUUUACCUUGUGUUAGGUGACACAACAACUCAUCUGAAUGUGGUGUGGCCAGACGAGCACCACUAGCAAUGAUCUAAUUUCUAUAUUCUUGUGGUUUUAUAUAACAAUCAUUGUCAGGGUGGAGGUAUAACUGAAGUUGUAAUCAUUGUCAGGGUGGAGGUAUAACCGAAGUUGUAAUCAUUGUCAGGGUGGAGGUAUAACUGAAGUUGUAAUCCUGUCAGGGUGGAGGUAUAACUGAAGUUGUAAUCAUUGUCAGGGUGGAGGUAUAACUGAAGUUGAAAUCAUUGUCAGGCUAGACAAGCAGCAUUUACAGUCUCUGUUGUCCUUUUACUUUGGUCAUGGAAACAAUGUGGUCACUUUUCACCUCUGCUAUUUCAAUAUGUGUGUGUUUACAUUAAGGAAAGUGAAAGAGGU
RNAcentral lists this long non-coding RNA (2023 nucleotides) under Salmo salar (Atlantic salmon). RNAcentral describes it as "lncRNA (ENSSSAG00000091464.1, ENSSSAG00000093365.1)". The record is from RNAcentral. Lineage: Eukaryota; Metazoa; Chordata; Actinopteri; Salmoniformes; Salmonidae.